UACGGAGGGAGCUAGCGUUGUUCGGAAUUACUGGGCGUAAAGCGCGCGUAGGCGGCUUUGUAAGUUAGAGGUGAAAGCCCGGAGCUCAACUCCGGAACUGCCUUUAAAACUGCAUCGCUUGAAUCCAGGAGAGGUGAGUGGAAUUCCGAGUGUAGCGGUGAAAUUCGUAGAUAUUCGGAAGAACACCAGUGGCGAAGGCGACUUACUGGACACAUAUUGACGCUGAGGUGCGAAAGCGUGGGGAGCAAACAGG
This 253-nucleotide ribosomal RNA is filed under the name uncultured bacterium. RNAcentral describes it as "partial 16S ribosomal RNA". It matches the Rfam family "Bacterial small subunit ribosomal RNA", at positions 524 to 776 of the family's 1533-position model. The record is from RNAcentral.